CACCUUUCUGCACAGGAGGUGUAGGGUCUCACAUAGAUGAAGAGCGCUGUGAGAUGUGAUAUGUAUUAUGAAAUGCAGGAGUCACAGAGUCUUAGAAAUUUUGAGCGCAUAUUGCACUUUCGGGGUAUACCCGGAAGUAUACCCGUAUCAGAGUCUGUA
This 159-nucleotide ribosomal RNA is filed under the name Pythium insidiosum. RNAcentral describes it as "5.8S ribosomal RNA". It matches the Rfam family "5.8S ribosomal RNA". From Rfam's summary of the family: 5.8S ribosomal RNA (5.8S rRNA) is a component of the large subunit of the eukaryotic ribosome. It is transcribed by RNA polymerase I as part of the 45S precursor that also contains 18S and 28S rRNA. Lineage: Eukaryota; Oomycota; Peronosporomycetes; Pythiales; Pythiaceae. The record is from RNAcentral.